RNAcentral lists this ribosomal RNA (491 nucleotides) under uncultured bacterium. RNAcentral's name for it is "partial 16S ribosomal RNA". It matches the Rfam family "Bacterial small subunit ribosomal RNA", at positions 28 to 507 of the family's 1533-position model. The record is from RNAcentral.
GAUGAACGCUAGCUACAGGCUUAACACAUGCAAGUCGAGGGGAAACGACAUUGAAGCUUGCUUCGAUGGUCGUCGACCGGCGCACGGGUGAGUAACGCGUAUCCAACCUGCCUCUGACCAAGGGAUAACCCGUCGAAAGUCGGCCUAAUACCUUAUGCAGUCGUCGGAAGUCAUCUGAUGACGACGAAAGAUUUCAUCGGUGAGAGAUGGGGAUGCGUCUGAUUAGCUUGUUGGCGGGGUAACGGCCCACCAAGGCAACGAUCAGUAGGGGUCCUGAGAGGAAGGUCCCCCACAUUGGAACUGAGACACGGUCCAAACUCCUACGGGAGGCAGCAGUGAGGAAUAUUGGUCAAUGGGCGAGAGCCUGGACCAGCCAAGUAGCGUGCAGGAUGACGGCCCUAUGGGUUGUAAACUGCUUUUAUGCGGGGAUAAAGUGAGGGACGUGUCCUUCAUUGCAGGUACCGCAUGAAUAAGGACCGGCUAAUUCCGUG